RNAcentral lists this ribosomal RNA (1336 nucleotides) under Mycobacterium sp. FZ-4. RNAcentral's name for it is "16S ribosomal RNA". It matches the Rfam family "Bacterial small subunit ribosomal RNA", at positions 81 to 1429 of the family's 1533-position model. The record is from RNAcentral. Lineage: Bacteria; Bacillati; Actinomycetota; Actinomycetes; Mycobacteriales; Mycobacteriaceae.
UCGUCGGUGCUCGAGUGGCGAACGGGUGAGUAACACGUGGGUGAUCUGCCCUGCACUUUGGGAUAAGCCUGGGAAACUGGGUCUAAUACCGAAUAUGAUCAUUGGCUUCAUGGCUGGUGGUGGAAAGCUUUUGCGGUGUGGGAUGGGCCCGCGGCCUAUCAGCUUGUUGGUGGGGUAAUGGCCUACCAAGGCGACGACGGGUAGCCGGCCUGAGAGGGUGACCGGCCACACUGGGACUGAGAUACGGCCCAGACUCCUACGGGAGGCAGCAGUGGGGAAUAUUGCACAAUGGGCGCAAGCCUGAUGCAGCGACGCCGCGUGAGGGAUGACGGCCUUCGGGUUGUAAACCUCUUUCAGCAGGGACGAAGCGCAAGUGACGGUACCUGCAGAAGAAGGACCGGCCAACUACGUGCCAGCAGCCGCGGUAAUACGUAGGGUCCGAGCGUUGUCCGGAAUUACUGGGCGUAAAGAGCUCGUAGGUGGUUUGUCGCGUUGUUCGUGAAAACUCACAGCUUAACUGUGGGCGUGCGGGCGAUACGGGCAGACUAGAGUACUGCAGGGGAGACUGGAAUUCCUGGUGUAGCGGUGGAAUGCGCAGAUAUCAGGAGGAACACCGGUGGCGAAGGCGGGUCUCUGGGCAGUAACUGACGCUGAGGAGCGAAAGCGUGGGGAGCGAACAGGAUUAGAUACCCUGGUAGUCCACGCCGUAAACGGUGGGUACUAGGUGUGGGUUUCCUUCCUUGGGAUCCGUGCCGUAGCUAACGCAUUAAGUACCCCGCCUGGGGAGUACGGCCGCAAGGCUAAAACUCAAAGGAAUUGACGGGGGCCCGCACAAGCGGCGGAGCAUGUGGAUUAAUUCGAUGCAACGCGAAGAACCUUACCUGGGUUUGACAUGCACAGGACGCGUCUAGAGAUAGGCGUUCCCUUGUGGCCUGUGUGCAGGUGGUGCAUGGCUGUCGUCAGCUCGUGUCGUGAGAUGUUGGGUUAAGUCCCGCAACGAGCGCAACCCUUGUCUCAUGUUGCCAGCACGUUAUGGUGGGGACUCGUGAGAGACUGCCGGGGUCAACUCGGAGGAAGGUGGGGAUGACGUCAAGUCAUCAUGCCCCUUAUGUCCAGGGCUUCACACAUGCUACAAUGGCCGGUACAAAGGGCUGCGAUGCCGUGAGGUGGAGCGAAUCCUUUCAAAGCCGGUCUCAGUUCGGAUCGGGGUCUGCAACUCGACCCCGUGAAGUCGGAGUCGCUAGUAAUCGCAGAUCAGCAACGCUGCGGUGAAUACGUUCCCGGGCCUUGUACACACCGCCCGUCACGUCAUGAAAGUCGGUAACACCGGAAGCCG